This 468-nucleotide ribosomal RNA is filed under the name uncultured bacterium. RNAcentral's name for it is "partial 16S ribosomal RNA". It matches the Rfam family "Bacterial small subunit ribosomal RNA", at positions 28 to 507 of the family's 1533-position model. The record is from RNAcentral.
GACGAACGCUGGCGGCGUGCUUAACACAUGCAAGUCGAAUGGAAAGGCCCUGCUUUUGUGGGGUGCUCGAGUGGCGAACGGGUGAGUAACACGUGAGUAACCUGCCCUUGACUUUGGGAUAACUUCAGGAAACUGGGGCUAAUACCGGAUAGGAGCUCCUGCUGCAUGGUGGGGGUUGGAAAGUUUCGGCGGUUGGGGAUGGACUCGCGGCUUAUCAGCUUGUUGGUGGGGUAGUGGCUUACCAAGGCUUUGACGGGUAGCCGGCCUGAGAGGGUGACCGGCCACAUUGGGACUGAGAUACGGCCCAGACUCCUACGGGAGGCAGCAGUGGGGAAUAUUGCACCAUGGGCGGAAGCCUGAUGCAGCAACGCCGCGUGCGGGAUGACGGCCUUCGGGUUGUAAACCGCUUUCGCCUGUGACGAAGCGUGAGUGACGGUAAUGGGUAAAGAAGCACCGGCUAACUACGUG